ACACCCCGCGCACAUCCCUCAGUCGGCCAGUAAACGUCUCAGCAGGUGCACGCAUGCUUGUGAUAAUAAAAUAUGUUCGUGUAAAGUUGCGCAGGAGGUGAUUAUUCUGGAAUUGUUCUCUCUCCUAUCGUUGCCAUAAUUAAAGGACCAAGAAUUAAGAAUGCCGAGAAAAACUAAACACAAACGAGAGCACGAUAGACUUCAAAAGAAAAAAAAAUAUGCAGCAAUUAAGGCAGGUCCUGAAAAGUAUAAAGAAGAUCAGUGUUCGAAAGGGCCGCAGUCACCGAAAGUCAAAAAAUUAUCUGAUAUUAAUGUGACUGAUUGGGAAAACAGAAAAUUUUAUGUUGAUAUAAAGGAACCCGUUGACAAAAAUUUUCAGACCGAUUUAGGGAAAUUUAUCAUGUCCAAUAGCGAACCAGAGCACGAUACCAAAGAAAAUGUAGAAGGAGUAUACGCAAAGAGAGAAAUUCAAAAUUUUUGUGAUGAUGAUUCCGCAGAACAUAUUUUCUAAUACUUUGAGUUAUUUUAAUUCAUUCGUUUUUGAUAUCAUAUUUUCGAAAUAUUUUUUUAAAAGUAUAUAAUUACAUUGCGAGAAGUCUAAUUUUAGUUUUGUAGUCUGAUUCUUAGGUUAUCUUGCCCUAUUCCCAAUUUUAUUUGGGGUCGGCGCAAUAUGUCUUCUGCUUUUUUGUGUCAUCUGUCAGACAAUUUAUCCAUCUUUUCUUAGGUCCUCCUCUUCUUCUCCAUCCAUCUACAUUUAUACCUAGCACAUACUUUGUUGCAUGCGUAUCAUCUCUCCUCAUUACAUGCCCAUACCAUGACAACCUUCUUACUUCUCAUCUUUUCUGUAACUGGCGCUACUUUCAGACUUCCUCUAAUGUAACCAUUCCUCACUUUAUAUCAAUUCUUGUCACACCACACAUCCAUCUCAACUUUCUCAUUUCUGCUACAUGUACUGUCUUCUCAUCCCCCUUUUUCAGUGGCCAACACUCAGAUUCACCCUUGUUCUUAAAAAACUAUUGCACCACUCGUCUGGUAUUGUUUCCUCUUGCAAACAGUUAUUGAAGAAUAAAGUCAGCCAUUUCCAUCCAUCCAUCUUUAAUACCUUCCACACUUUCACUCGUAUUCCACCUGGCCCUAACGCUUUUCCAUAUUAUACUAAUUCUUAGCUUAUAGAAGAAAAAUAAAAGCUUCUGAUUUUUGUCUCAUUAUUCUCAAAGAUUAUGAUUAUUGUGUAGAAAAAUAAGUAAAAAAUUAAAAAAGACAAGAAAAAUACCCUUAUCAUAAGUAUCCGAUCAUUUAGAAGUCUAAUUUUAAUUUCUUUAUUUAGUUUAUUGAAUAUAAAAAUAAAUAUUUCUUAUCCAAGUUUA
Long non-coding RNA from Helicoverpa zea (corn earworm), 1367 nucleotides. RefSeq lists it as uncharacterized. The transcript has 2 exons. NCBI's taxonomy places the organism in Eukaryota, Metazoa, Arthropoda, Insecta, Lepidoptera, Noctuidae. The record is from RefSeq and is a predicted model, not a curated record.